CCUACGGGAGGCAGCAGUGGGGAAUAUUGCACAAUGGGGGAAACCCUGAUGCAGCGACGCCGCGUGAAGGAAGAAGGUUUUCGGAUCGUAAACUUCUAUCAGCAGGGAAGAAAAUGACGGUACCUGACUAAGAAGCCCCGGCUAACUACGUGCCAGCAGCCGCGGUAAU
Molecule: ribosomal RNA, 169 nt
Filed under: uncultured bacterium
Lineage: Bacteria
Description: partial 16S ribosomal RNA
Rfam family: Bacterial small subunit ribosomal RNA
Source: RNAcentral